This 429-nucleotide ribosomal RNA is filed under the name Pseudomonadota bacterium. RNAcentral describes it as "Proteobacteria bacterium partial 16S ribosomal RNA". It matches the Rfam family "Bacterial small subunit ribosomal RNA", at positions 355 to 776 of the family's 1533-position model. Lineage: Bacteria; Pseudomonadati; Pseudomonadota. The record is from RNAcentral.
UGGGGUAUAUUGGACAAUGGGCGAAAGCCUGAUCCAGCCAUGCCGCGUGUGUGAAGAAGGUCUUCGGAUUGUAAAGCACUUUAAGUUGGGAGGAAGGGCAGUAAGCGAAUACCUUGCUGUUUUGACGUUACCGACAGAAUAAGCACCGGCUAACUCUGUGCCAGCAGCCGCGGUAAUACAGAGGGUGCAAGCGUUAAUCGGAAUUACUGGGCGUAAAGCGCGCGUAGGUGGUUCGUUAAGUUGAAUGUGAAAGCCCCGGGCUCAACCUGGGAACUGCAUCCAAAGCUGGCGAGCUAGAGUAGGGCAGAGGGUGGUGGAAUUAACUGUGUAGCGGUGAAAUGCGUAGGUAUAGGAAGGAACACCAGUGGCGAAGGAGACCACCUGGGCUCAUACUGACACUGAGGUGGGAAAGCGUGGGGAGCAAACAGG